RNAcentral lists this ribosomal RNA (535 nucleotides) under Malgasia afenina. RNAcentral's name for it is "partial 16S ribosomal RNA". It matches the Rfam family "Bacterial large subunit ribosomal RNA", at positions 1814 to 2610 of the family's 2925-position model. The record is from RNAcentral. Lineage: Eukaryota; Metazoa; Arthropoda; Insecta; Orthoptera; Gryllidae.
CAUCUCUUCUAGUAAAAAAUAUUGGAGGUAGUAUCUGCCCAAUGAGGAAUUUAAUGGCCGCAGUAUUUUGACUGUGCAAAGGUAGCAUAAUCAUUUGUCUUUUAAUUGAAGACUGGAAUGAAUGAUUUGACGAAAUAAAAGCUGUCUUAAUAAAAUGUAUUGAAUUUAAUUUUUGAGUUAAAAAGCUUAAAUGAAGAUAAAGGACGAGAAGACCCUAUAGAGUUUAAUAAUUUUAUUUUAGAUUAUAUUGUUAGUUUUGAUUUAUUGUUUUAUAAUGAAAUUGUUUGGUUGGGGUGACAUUAAAAUAUGAAAAACUUUUAUGUGGAAUUUAACUUGAAAAUGGAAGGAAAUUUUAGGAAGAUCUUAUAUUAUGGAUUAAAAGAGAAAAUUACCUUAGGGAUAACAGCGUUAUUAUAUUUGAGAGUUCAUAUUGAAAAUAUAGUUUGCGACCUCGAUGUUGGAUUAAGAAUAUGUAUUGGUGUAGAAGUUGAUAUAAUAGGUCUGUUCGACCUUUAAAUUCUUACAUGAUCUGAGU